CGGGGUUUUGAGGGCGAGAUGAGUUUAUGUUUGAUCCAACUGGCCCACAAAGUCCCGCU
Molecule: microRNA precursor, 59 nt
Organism: Vulpes vulpes (red fox)
Lineage: Eukaryota; Metazoa; Chordata; Mammalia; Carnivora; Canidae
Gene: MIR193B
Product: microRNA 193b
Source: Ensembl